RNAcentral lists this ribosomal RNA (253 nucleotides) under uncultured bacterium. RNAcentral's name for it is "partial 16S ribosomal RNA". It matches the Rfam family "Bacterial small subunit ribosomal RNA", at positions 524 to 776 of the family's 1533-position model. The record is from RNAcentral.
UACGGGGGGGGCAAGCGUUGUUCGGAAUUACUGGGCGUAAAGGGCUCGUAGGUGGCCAACUAAGUCAGACGUGAAAUCCCUCGGCUUAACCGGGGAACUGCGUCUGAUACUGGAUGGCUUGAGUUUGGGAGAGGGAUGCGGAAUUCCAGGUGUAGCGGUGAAAUGCGUAGAUAUCUGGAGGAACACCGGUGGCGAAGGCGGCAUCCUGGACCGAUACUGACGCUGAGGAGCGAAAGCCAGGGGAGCAAACGGG